GUGGAAGUGACGGAGGUUGGCUCUGGCUCCAGGCUCGGACUCUCCAGUCUAUCUCCGGGGUGGAGCAGUGGCAACAUACCACAUGGUCCCUGUAGAGAGAACACUGAACCCUCUAAUAGACCAUAGACCGUGUUGCCAAGGCCUACUGGGAAUGACACAAAGAUUGGGAACUCGGAGUGGGAGGAAGAACAAAGAAAGACUGCAAUCAAUAACACUGCUGAGGUGUUGCCAGGAGACUUGGAAAGUUGGGAAUGUUGGACCUUCUUCUGUUAAAGUAAGCUCAGCCAGCGUGAGCCUAUCAUCUCAGUGCCAGAGAAACUGUUGGAAGUGAUAAACGAGCGGUGUUAGCACUGGGAGCGUUGAUUCUCCCCCGCUUUCUACCAGAGCUUGGUAGAAAGCAGAGAUGACCCGAGACGCCUUCUGUUUGUAUGCAUCCACAAUCACCUUGAUCACAUUAUUUGAAGUUUCAUCUAGUUCUGGCCUUACCUCUUUUGUAAAGUAAUCUCUUAAUUGCAAGUAUCUAAAAAAACCUUUGUUUUCGAGACCAUAUUUUGACUUUAAAUCUUGGAAGCUCAUAAACUCGCCAUUUUAUGAAACUGUAUACAUUGCCGUUAUGCCUUUUUGUGCCCAUUCUUUGAAUUUUGAAUCAUACACCCCUGGCUUAAACUUUGAGUCAUAUGCGAACCACUUCAAUGUGUGAACCCCUCUUUUUAAUUUGUAUUUUUCCACUAUAACAUUCCAUAUUUCUAACGUAAAUGCUACUAUUGGAUCCAUAGCAUGUCUCAAAGCCUCUCUCAGAUAUUUGUCUCCCACCAAAAUCUGGAUCUGGUAACCCUGUAUCUCCCUUUCCAUUUCUUUCCAUCGAGAUUCAUAAUCAGGUCUACACCAACAAGCCAGAAGUCUGAGUUGAGCUGCAUAAAACUAUUUCCUCAGAUUUGGUAAAGCCAUUCCACCCUUGCUUUUCGGCAGUUGAAGUGUUGUUAGUUUUAUGCUUGGUGUUUUGCUAUUCCAAAUUAAUCUAGAGAUCAUUUUAUCCCAGGUUAUGAAUUUAUCUCGGGGAACAUUAAUUGGGCGAGAUUGGAAUAAAUAUAGUAGUUUAGGUAGGAUAUUCAUUUUUACCGUUUUUAUUCUGGCACCGAAGUCUAGAGGAAGAGUCGCCCACCUCUCCACAUCCUUUUUGAUGUUUUCUUCAGUUUUGUUAUAAUAAGUUUCAAACAAGUUGGAAAGUGUUUUGCUUAUAGUUACACCAAGAUACUGCAUCGUUUUAGAAUUCCAUUUCAGAUUAUACGCAUCUCUGAUUUGUUGGGAUGGAGAAUAAUUGAAUGAAAGAAUUCGUGUUUUUGUUAGAUUCAGUUUAUACCCUGAGUAGUAUCCAUAUGUUUCAUAUAGAUUCAUUAGAUUUGGGAGAUAAAUCUGGUCGUUCA
Leucoraja erinaceus (little skate) is the source of this 1424-nucleotide long non-coding RNA. RefSeq lists it as uncharacterized. Lineage: Eukaryota; Metazoa; Chordata; Chondrichthyes; Rajiformes; Rajidae. The record is from RefSeq and is a predicted model, not a curated record. The transcript is spliced from 3 exons.